RNAcentral lists this ribosomal RNA (440 nucleotides) under uncultured bacterium. RNAcentral describes it as "partial 16S ribosomal RNA". It matches the Rfam family "Bacterial small subunit ribosomal RNA", at positions 338 to 795 of the family's 1533-position model. The record is from RNAcentral.
CCUACGGGAGGCAGCAGUGAGGAAUAUUGCUCAAUGGGGGAAACCCUGAAGCAGCAACGCCGCGUGGAGGAUGAAGGUUUUAGGAUUGUAAACUCCUUUUGUUAGAGAAGAUUAUGACGGUAUCUCACGAAUAAGCACCGGCUAACUCCGUGCCAGCAGCCGCGGUAAUACGGAGGGUGCAAGCGUUACUCGGAAUCACUGGGCGUAAAGAGUGCGUAGGCGGGGUAAUAAGUCAGAUGUGAAAUCCUGUAGCUUAACUACAGAACUGCAUUUGAAACUGUUACUCUGGAGUGUGGGAGAGGUAGGUGGAAUUCUUGGUGUAGGGGUAAAAUGCGUAGAGAUCAAGAGGAAUACUCGUUGCGAAGGCGACCUGCUGGAACAUUACUGACGCUGAUGCACGAAAGCGUGGGGAGCAAACAGGAUUAGAUACCCUUGUAGUC